Long non-coding RNA from Pipistrellus kuhlii (Kuhl's pipistrelle), 13988 nucleotides. RefSeq lists it as uncharacterized. The record is from RefSeq and is a predicted model, not a curated record. The transcript has 2 exons. NCBI's taxonomy places the organism in Eukaryota, Metazoa, Chordata, Mammalia, Chiroptera, Vespertilionidae.
CCUAUUGCUCCUGUCCAUGGGCUAUGCAUAUAAGUACAAUAUAAUUUCUUUGGUUUAUCUCUUUUCAUCCUCCCAAUCCCACAUCAAGGUAUGUCAGUCUCUCUCUCUCUCCUUUUGAGGGGAACAGCAGCUGUGUGGCAGCAAACAGAUGGAGACCUUAGAAAGAAGAGUAAAGCCAAGAAAGGGGGUGAUAGAAGCCAUAGGUUGGAGUGAAAAAAAGCGAAGGAAUUACUAUCUGAUUUAUGUAUGUAGAUACAUGUUUCCAUGUUGUCUUCUGCCAGGAGACCCACUUAGUGGCUCUAAGAUUGGUCAUCUUGGUAGCUUUCUGAAUGGUGUUAGGGAGGGUUGUGGUGUGUUUUCAUCCCUCAUUUGUGUAUUUCCCAUAGCAUCCUGUGGCAGGGAGUGCAGGGUAUUCUGUUCUUCAGGAUGUGUGGGAAUCACUGACCAAGGAGAAGGUAGGGUCCUGCGCCCCAGGAGCUGACAUCAUUGUGGAGACAAAUGAGCACACAAUUAGGACUAUGACGUCCGGUCAUUUAGCAUUUAGCCAGUCACUUCUCUGCACUCUCUAAGAGCAGUUUCCUGCCAUCGGGGUGGCUGAGGGCUGCAGGGGCUGGGAGAGGAGACUGCCAUUUACCGCAGAAUAACCACCCCCAGCUCACCCCUGUUGGGCUUGUGUGCUGUUCUCCCUCUCUCUCUCUCUCUCUCUCUCUCUCUCUCUCUCUCUCAGCUGGAAUUUAAAAACACAAAAACUUGGCUCGGGGAAAGACAGAGACCCCUUUGUCUGCCGAGGGUGUAAAUAUAAAUUUGGCACAUGUCAUGUAUCUAUUAUGUCUAUUAGUGGGUUUGUGGCCAGAGAGAGGGCUGUGUUCUCAGCCUGGAUGCCAAGCCCGAUCUAGGGCACGUUAAGGUGGACAUAUCUCCUGCGGAAGAUCUGGUUCCCAGGGACAGUCGCUGGAGGAACUUCUCGUCACAGCCGGGCAAUGACUGAGGCGUGGCCUGGGCACACCCAGAGCUGCUGGUGGGUGGCAUUGAUUAAUCACACUCCCAUCUCCCUCACCCUCUUGUGCUUGUCUUGGCAAAGCCCUGUUCUACCAGCUCCUCAAAGCUUGGGCCUUCCCAGAUAGGAUUGAGCAAACUCUUGGGCGGGGGUGUCAUUAUACUGUCCCUUGCCACUGGUGGAACCGCAGGCCGGUUGCCUUGGUCCCGUUCUGGUGCCCUGGGUCGUCUGGCCUGGCAGCGAGGGGCCGGGUGUUUCUUCCCGUUGGAUCGAACCACCUUCCUGAGAGGCCUGUCCUCGGGCAGUUUCUGGUCUUCACCUUUUGCAGGAUACUGGCAGCUGGGCAGUGGCCCCGGUGCUUUGAAUGCAUCAGCUAAGCAUCAUGCCAAGACAGACUCAUUGUCUUCCAGACAGGUUGGGUCAGAGGGUGUUGCAGAACCUGUUUCUGGGUUAAGAGUAGCCGUCCCACCCUCCUAUAUAUUUAUUCAUAUGAAGAACGAGUGUGUGUGUAAGGAACCCAUGAUGAUAAUAUUUUGAUUGGAGUCAGAUAUUGUCUUCCUAAUAACACGUUGUCUUUUAACAAGUGGCAUCCCUUUAAAAACCCGGCUUUGCUCGCUGAAGUGUUGCACAGAAGUUGUGGUUGCAUUCUGAAGUACGCUGCCUUGCUCCGAGGCAGGUGUUCUGUAAAUUGUUGUUUGCUUCUUUUUCAUCUCUCUUUACUCUCGUCCCUCUUUUGUGAGGAGAUUCUGGGAGGCUUUUCUGCUUCAGAGAUGAAAUAGCCUAUUUUAACUAGCACGUAACAGGGAGAGGUUGCUAUGUUGGCAUACUUACCCACAAUUCAAAUAAGAAUAAUUAAAGUCUGUUUACUUGCUAAUAUAUUCUGUUGAGUUUUUGAACAUGAGUAAGUUAGAAAACUAGAGAGUGCAAAUGUGUCAACUUCUCAAAAAUGGUACAUGUAAUAAGCUGCAAAGAAACUUUUGGUUAAUUCCUUGUUUUCACAUGCGUUUGUCCAGAAAGGGUGGGGAUUCAAUGAAGUUUGAGGACAUCUGUAAUUUUGAUGAUUACACUCUAUUAUAUUAUAUUUUUCUUUGGGUGAAUAUACCUUUAUUUGCUAAACCAUCUUCAAUUGGAAACAUUAAGGACUUUGCUUUAUUAUAACAUUUAAAGCACUUUCUAAUCUUUAUGAGGAUUAUUAGAGAAAAAAAUCAUAUCCUGUGACUUGUGCAAGUCUUUGGCAUUAUGUUACUGUUUAAAGGAAGUAGCAAUAGGAGAUUUAAGGAAAAUGGUUUUAACUCCAAGCACUGUAACAUUUUAAGGUAGGUUUACAUAACAACAGCAUUAUUUCUUAAGUUUACACAUAAUAAACUUAUCUGUAUUUUGUUGAUUUUUCUCUGGCACCUGUACAAGAUUUGCAGUGGUGGUGGUAGUAUUUUGAUGUAUGUCUUUCUGGGUUUUUUUUCUUUUAUAUCUUUAGUUUUAAAAAGUUGUUGAUGUAUAAGAUAUAUACAAUUUUCUGUUCUGUCUUACUUUGGUGGUUAUAAAUAUUUUUCAUAAAUUGAAUUUUAAUGGUUAAAUAAUAUUCUAAUUAAUAAGUUUAUUAUAUUUUGACCAUUCUCAUUUGGUUUGCUUGCAUAUUUCUUUGGUUCCAUCUCCCCCCAUCCCCCCCUGUAUAAAUGGUAUUGAUCAUUUUCAUAUAGAAAGGAAUUUUGCUCUUAGGAUAUUUUUCAUUGUUAGAUUUUUAGAAGAGACAUUAAUAUAUCAAAGAGACAUUAAAAACCAGAAAAAAAGGAUUUUUUUUAAAAUCAGGAAAACAUAAGAUAAAAUUAAAAUAUACAAUAAUCCCACCAUCUCCAACCAAAACCCAGAGUUAAUAUGUUGAAACAUUUCAGUGUUUUUUUCUAUCUAUUAUUGUAAUUGGAAUUUUAAUAUACAUAUAGUUUUGUCAUCUGCUUCUGCACCACUUAAAUAUGGUGAACAUUUCUCCAUAUAUAUGUGUUUUUUUAAAGGCUGCUUACUGUUCUACCUUAAGAAUCUACUAUAUUUUAUUUAAAUUGAAAUCUCUUUAUAGUUUCCAAUUUUUAUAAUUAUAAAUAAUGCUAUGAUGAAAAUUUUUGUAUGUAACAUUCUGUAGGGAUAUCUAUUGUAUUUCAUUUACAAACUCCCAGAAGUCAAAUUAUUGUAUCAGAGUAUGGGCUGUUCUGUGGCUUUUGAUACACACUGCCAAAUUCCCUUCCAUAUAGUUCGAUCAAGUUAUAUUUCCAUCAGCAGAAUGUCAGUGUUCCCAGACAUUGUCAACCUACCUUUUAUUUGGAAAACUCUUUACUAAUUGGCUAAGUGGUAAAUUCUGCUUCAUCCUAAUUUGCCUCCCUGCAUAGUGAUGGUGAAUGCUUUUUCAUAUGGUCAUUGGCCAUUUGUGUUGCCUUUGCUUUUAUUUACUUAUUUCGGCAAAUUGUUUCUUUUACCCAUUAAGGUGUUUAUUUGGGGUUACUGAUUUGAAGCAUCUCUUUAAAUAUUAAGUAUAUUAAUUAAUCCUUUGUCUAUCUUAAAUAUGGUGCAACAGAUAUGGGCAGGUUCAACUACAUAGUAUAAAAUUGCUACCCAUAUUGAUAUAAAAAUUGUUUAUUUGCUAGGUUACAUUUUUUUAUCCUUUGAUUGCUAAUGAACUUGGUCAGUUUUCUGUGUAUUAACUGAAAUUUUCUAUAGCUACUUUAAAAUCCUAAUCUGACUAUAUAAUUAAGCACUGAACUGUCAGUUGUAUAUGUCUAGGAAAUGCAUAUUUACUUUAUAAUAAAAGAAUACUGGAGGGAAACAAUAUAUUUUGAAGCCACAUAUGUGAUUUGGGGCUGGUGGAGGGCAACCUGUUCUGUCUCCUCUUCCUAGAUGUCCAAGAUUGUGGAGGUGACAUGCCUGAAAGUGAGGACUAAUGCACCACUCAAUCUGACCUUUGACCUCAUUGAUCAUUGUACAGUGGUCUAGCCAGUCCGUGUGGUCAGACAACCGGGUGACUAAGAUUCCCUCCCCCUCUCCCUCACCAAAUUGAUUAGUUGUGGGGCAGAACUGACUGAGUCAACCUGUUGUUUUGGCACCCCGUGGACACCACCUGUUUUUUCCAUUUCUCCUUCCAGCCUCCCACUGCCCUGGUGCAGAGCUGUGUGCACAGUGGGUAGGAGAUCAAUGUUGUUGCUGAAGAAUGUUGCAAUAAAAAAAGGCUAGAUUGCUUUUUUUUCCACAGUUGUGCGCUCUUAAGACACCCUGCUGCUUUUGACAUUAAGAGCUCCAGCUGAACUGCUCUAUGCAGAGGCCCUGAGGGUCUGAAGUGCUCGAUUCAGAAUCAUUUCAGGCAAUAUGAAUGCUUUCUUAAGUAUUAUUGGAAUUUACUGGGCUGGCUGGUUGCCAGCUAUUACCAUAUUUAGCAUGAGGAGACCUGGAGAACAAGGAAAUGCACAUUUCUGACCAACCAGAGAAGGAAACUUCUCUUGAAAGAUUGAAAAAAAAGUUUUAAAGGGUAGUUAAGAGAGUGCCAGUUAGAGUGAGAUUCCAGCUUGUGUCCGGUGGUCCUUGUUUCUGUGCCCGAACCACAGCAAUUAAUUUAUGGAUGAUGAUCAUCGGGAUUUGACAAGGAAGGUUUUUCUCACCCUGAAGCCUCCUACUGUUUCUGGGAGGAAACUGGAGGAUUUUUAUGCCUAGACUGUGCAUCGAGAGGCUUACUCAGCAAGGGAAGCCAUUGAUUAAAAACGGGUGGAUGGGUGUUAUUCUCUCAUCUCUCUUCUUGAAGGCUUAUUAGGUUUCUGCUUUGUCAUGGUCUGGAUUUAUUUUGGCCCCGUCCUUCCCUCCAUGGCUUAACAUUUCUCUGCCUCAGUUUUUCCAUUUUAAAGAUGAAGACAGCAUUUGGAAGGACCAGUCAAUACAGUGACCAUGAAACUUAUUUUUGUAAAGUAAAAAACAAAAACAAAAAAACACACCAACAUUUCCGCAGCAAAACGGAGCUUACAGAGUAUUCGCUCACAGUGGUCUCCUUCAAUCCUCACAAACCCUUGGUGGAAACUGAGCCUCCGAGGGGAUAGUUGGCUUGUACACCCUUGUUUAGCCCUAGCUAAUAAGUAACAGAGUGAGGACUUACAUUUGUGGUUAGACUUUUAAACUUCAGCUUAAAAAAAAUUUGGGGGGGUGUCAAAUUCUUUUGUGUUUGCCAUUCUGCUAGGGGCUUUACACGCAUUUCUUCAUUUUAGUCACAUGGCUAUCCAGCCUUUGGGAUGGACAUUAUUUAUUUACGUAUAUUACAGAUAAGGAAAUUGGAGCUUAGGUUCAUAGCUCUGGGUAUUGGGGUGAAUCUCGUGGUUGGUGAGGGAUGGAGUCAUGAUUAAAGGUCUGUCUGGCAUCAGGACCUGCAGCCAACCCUGUUGCUCUGUGUGCAUUUACUAGUAGACAGUCUCACACCACAGCAACCCAACAAGAUGUGGAGUAGGUAAGUUGAGGUAACUGAGGCCUACAACAUGCUCAGGAAAAUGCAAUUACUAAAGGGCGGAGUCAGGAUUUAGAGCAAGUCUGUCUGUGUCUAUAACCCUUACUCAUUCCUGUACAGUGGAGAUGCGUGUGUUGAUGUAUAUAAGUAAAAAUCAGUGCCUAAGACCAGUGUUGAAUAUUGAGGUUAGCUGUUAGGAAUCCUUUGUAGCUUCUGAAUAAAUAAGAAAUGGGGGAUUGGGGCGGGGGGAGGUGGGAAUUUAUUGACUGAUGAACUUUGCCUUCUCUCAGUUGAUUUCUGUCACCAGGACAAGCAAAUUGAACUUGGGUUGAGAAGAGGGGAGAUCCCAUUAAAGAUGAAUCUUUAAGCCCAAGUGGGCCACAGCUAUGGGCCUGUCCUACGGUUGCUCUCAGGAGCAAUGGCCGAACUCCUGAGGACUCUGCUUGGGGACAUCCCUGUCUGAGUUUCUGGAGACUCCUCUUUUCCAGGGAGUUGUCAGCUAAUGUGGAAAGAGGGUGGGGACACUUACAGGUCUGGUUCUAAAUGUACUAGUCCUGUGUCCUUGGGCAAGUUUCCUAAGCACUCCAUGCCUCAGUUUCAUUCUUUAUAAAAUGGAGAUAAUAGCUGCACGUAAUUGUUAGGGUUGUUGUGAGGAUUAAAUAAGCUCGUAGCGUUAAAUUCCCAGUACAAACAGUACCUGGCACAUGGUAAGAGAGCAGUACGUAGUUGGUGGUGGUGAUGGUGGUAUUUCAUGUCGUAGUAUGUAUGGACUGGCCUUUUGUUGCUUUCACUUUUCUGUGUCAAAAGUGGGGUGAGAAAUAGGAACUUCAGCUUUGCAGGAUGCCGAUUGUUCCCUGGUUUCUAGUGACCCUACAAAUAUUUAGGGGUAUUGUAUUUGAGUCUGUUCCCUUAAUGGGAUAUAGUUCCGAUAUCAAAAACUUUUUUUCUAUUAUAAAAAUUGCCUUGAUAGGUAUUAAAUUAUUGUUGAUUUAGUCAGACAUUUGUGGUUCGCUGUUAUGCUUAGUACAGAAACUGUGAUUUUUUUUUCCUGAGGUAUAGCUUUGAGGAUAAUAUAAGGUCCAACACUUUUGCCCCCCAAUUUCCUAUGAUAUGGGAUAUUGUGUGUCAUAUACAAAGUCCAAAGAUGUGAAGUGACUGGCCAGGGGGCCUAGAGUGAGUGAGGUCAAGGUUGAGGCCAGAAUCCAAGCUUUUGUUUUCUAGUCAAGUGAUCUUUCCUCUGUACCCACUACUCAAUGUGUCCACCCCUGAGUUUUGAGAUCUGAAAAUGGAACAGUGAAGAAGUGGGAAGGGUGGGGAGGCGAGAAGUGUGGCCAUAUUGAGCAUGUCAGUGACAGGCGGAGAAAAAAUUUGCCUGUGAGCCCCUCCCUGCCGGUCCCUUUGGACAUCUCUGUGGUGGUGGAGGCAACCCAGCAGGGCUGGUGCCAUUUGUGACUCAGAAUUGGAUUAGCCAGGGCUGGUGGAGUUACUUUCUCAGAAAAGGGUUUCAUAUUUUCACAUUUGUUUCCUCUAUAGUUUGCUUAGUCUCAAGUUUUGGCAGCCUUGAGCAAAUGGUUGUCAGGUUUUUUUGUUUUGUUUUGUUUUUUUAGACAAAACUCCAGAUUUUAUUUUGACGAUUUAGUAAACUUUCCUCUUCCUACCACUCCCUUCUGCCCCCUAUAUAAUUAUUUCUAAGACUUUGUUUUUCACUUGUGGGAGUACUCUGAAAGGUUUUCUUUUAUAGUCUGAGAUAUUUAUAAUUAUGCGUAAGCACACUGUUUACAGGGCAUGUAAGUGGUUGCAUAUAUUAACUCAUGUACACUUAAAAUAUUUUCCAAUAAUUUAAAUCUUUUCAGAAAAGCAGCUGAAGCCACUCACAGUAAAAGGGGAGGUAUACACGAAGGAAAGCAGCAUUUGAGUGUAAUUGAUAGAGAUAAAUGCGAAUGUCACUUUGGAGGAACUGGGAGUAUUUGCAUGAAAGUUGACCGGGGCAUGUCUCCUUAUUAACAACAUUGAUGUACACCUCUGUCCUCCUGGGGCUUAUCAGAACUAGCAGUAGCUUCCAUAUACUGAGGGUUUGUUAUGUGACAGAUGCUGGGGGAAACGUACUUUACCUGUAUCCGUUAGUCCUCACAGUAGGUGCUUUGAUUCCUACUUAGUGAGAGGUUAAGGGAUGGUCACCCAGCUCACCCCGCUUGUGGGUGAUCCAGUGCAGCAACCAGAACCCCUCUUCCCUGACUCCAAAGCUCACACACUCACCCACUCUCGACGGUGCCAUUGUCUGUAGUCCCACAGACAAUGUACCGUUAGAUGUACUAAUGUUUUGUGUACUACUCAACUGGCUCCAGUUUUACUCUUCAUUUCUUUCCUCUGAGUGAACAUUUGCAUAACAUGGAAAUGAUUUAACCUUUAAAAUUCCAUUUUGGGGAGUUGCAGUGUUGUUGUUUUUUUUUCGAAAUCUUUUUGAAAGGGGAAGAAUGGAUUUAUGUUUGUCAUUAUCCGAGGGAAGUUAUUUAGCGUUUCUUUUCCCUGUUCACUUCUGGAUCCUAAAAGAAAUUCUUUCGCAGAUUAAGAACAGGAAUGAGUGUGUCACUUUUUUUCCUUUUUAAUGAAAACCAUUUUGAAAGACUGGAGGUGGCAACCCAGAGUCAUAUUUGUGCCGGCUUUUUCCUGACUGUGCACUUGUGUUCUUAUUGUACCGUUCUGAAAAGGGCGUCCGAGACCAUGUAAAAUGAUUGGAAUGCCUCCUGUAUGAACAAUGGACAUAGCCAAUUACUAAAACUACCCAGUGCUAACCCAUCUUGGCCUGGGAGCUUUGGAAUUAACUGCGUGCGGCAUUUCUACCCAUAUCAUUAUAUAAAAAGCACGCGGGUAACCUUGGUUUUUCUUUUCUGGGAACUUUUUCCUUGUUAUUAUCCCUUCUGUUACUGAGAACAGAUGGUUGUCUGUGCUAAUACAUGAGAGAAGUAUGUUUGACACCAACCCUUCUGUUUUAAAAUGUAGUCCUACAUAUGAGUGCUCUGACAUGUGGGCCCUUGCAAACAUACUGGACUUCCUCUUGAAGGUUCAGUUGUGUCAGCUGCCAGUUGAAUGGUGAAGGAGAGAAUGUCCAGGGGUAUUGAGGAUAAUGAAAGAGAUAAAUAACAGCGAAAGUUGAUUGUUUGUUUUUAAUUAUCUCUUGGAAUGGCUUUUAGAUACCCUGUCCCACUCCAUUUGGAUUUUUACUGCAGCUAGGCCUGGCUCUGAUUCUUAGCUAAGGAUACAUUGGGCAAGCCACUUAACUUCUCUAAGUCUCAGUUCCCUUGUUUGUGUAUCUGGAAUAAUAAUAGUCAUACCCAACUUGCAGAAUUGUUUGUAAAUGUUGGAAAUAACAUUUAAUUGCAUGGUUCUGAGCACAAAAUAGGCACUCAACUGCAGAGGCCCCAAACCUUGAACUUCAUUAGCCUCCUGGUAAUUCCCCGUUUGGAAUAUAUGAGCUGGGAGUACUUGACUCUGGACCUCCUUGUUUCAGUUUUCUUUUAAUGAUUCCCUUUAGAUACUGCUCUUGCCAGAACAAGAUUAUGGGUCCCCUAAAAACCAGAGUCAAGCACUAUAGCAAUUUCGAGUUUAUAGAUGAAUUGCCUAUGAAUUAACACACGUUUGUCUGCUCGUGAUUUGCAGCAUCUUUCAUUUUUCAUCUCAAAAGCAAUUGAUUCAUAGAAACAAAAUAUUUAGUGUUUCAAAUCAAAGUUGGAGAACUUUUUCAAUAAGGAGGAUCUGCUCGAUCGGCUUAUUUGUUUUCAUCUUUCAUCCCUGAGUCUUCAUGGAAAUCAGGCUUGAAAUGUUAGAAGCAGUUGGUUUUCAGCAUUGGGAAAGCUUAUCUAAUCAGGCAUGUGAAGUGGCCUCUGUCGGAUUUCUGUGCCAGAGAAGGCGAGGGGAGGUGGAGGAGAUUAUCGCUCUAGCUUGUAAUUCCUGAGCAUUGUUGAGACACUAGGAGAGCAACGGGGAAAUUCCAAAAAACAUUUAAGAUGACUACACUGGCCUAACAGGCAUAUAUCUCCCAUCUCCAUUUAGGCUGGUCUGAUACUAUAGUUAUAUGGGACCUAAUUUGAAUCAUGUGAUCAAUAGUUUAUCGCUUAUGGGCUAGAUGAUGAGGAUUUUUUGUGUGUGUUUUUUUUGUUUGUUUCACAGAAUUUAGGAUUGGGAGUUUUACACAAAAUAAUAUUUUACAUUAAAUUGUGCUUUCUGACAAGGGAGCCAUCUCAACAAACAUUCUUUCAGGUGCACAGUGUAGGACAGCUUUAUAAUCACUUUUCUAAACAUGGUUUUAUUUGAGCCACAAAUGGACUCUGCUAAGGAAGGAGGGCCGGUGAUGUUAUUUUACAGAUGAGAAUGCUAAGUCUCAGCUAGCUUAUGGAAUUCCUCUAGACCACACGGGAGAAUAUAAAGCCAGGAUUAGAACCCAGGUUCUGGGGUAGUACAACAUUGCUUCCUCCAGAAUGCCCCUGAAGCCAACUUCUGUUCCCCAGGAUAAUACGGAUUCUCUUCCUUUCUGUUUUGAUUAGCUGCCUCAGUCAGAGCAUGUCAGCAGUGAAGCAGCAGUUGAGAAUUCAUUCCCCAGCUGGGUCAUUAGCUCUUCCUAACAAGAUUCUAAGCCUGUAGUAACCGGUUGUCCCUGAUGCCUGUGGCUGACUCAGCUGAACUCAUCACACCUUCCAUAUGUUCUGUAAUGGACCCCCAAUGUCAUGUUCCCAUACAGACACUUCCUGUGCUCCGAUGUCUAGUUCUUAGUACCUUCCCUCAGCUGUUUUUAAGCCCUAGUUCUUCCUGAGUGGCCUGGAGUGAUUUACUGUCCUUAAAGUUUAAGGUCUCUCCAGAACACACAGCAUAAUGUAAUUUCACUUCCCAGCUCUUGGCAUGUCUCUCCUUCAUCAUUAUAACUUUAAAUUUAAACAGAAUAUGAACUGUGUACACUGAUAGGCAUGUUAACAUUGCGCUAUCGUUUAAGUGCACUUCAGCAUUUCGUCCUUCCUUUUGAUCAAAAUGAGGAAAUAGAAAAUGUUUUGUUAUGGUAGGUUUACACAUACACCCACAAGGAAAUGCGUUAGCUAGCUUGUGUGGGAACUGUAACUGAUAUAUUUCAGGGAGGAAAAUGCAUGAUGGGUAAAAUUUUAACUCUGCCAAAUGUUCAUGGGGAAAGAAAAAUGAUCAAGCUCCCACAUUGCACUUCAGUGUGGCUUACUAAUUCUAAGGCUGUUAACUUUUAUGAGUGCCUGCCUUGUUUACAUCUAUUAACUGUGAAAGCGCGCUUGCCCUUCCACAGAGUGCAUUUCACAAGUUGUGCUUCUCCCUCCGGGAGCCAUCUCCACGAACGCACUUUCAGGUGUGCAGUGGAGGGCCGCUUAUUGCGAGUGGAAGGUUAGAAUGCCAAGUGGACCAUUUUGACUCCUCCAUCAAGCCCGCUGGACAUUUGGCCGGGCCCUGUGGUCAGCCGAGAGUUUCCUUUGAAGGCCACUGCCCUCUAGCCAUGCCAAGGCCAUGCACCUCUCUCACCAGGAAGAAUUUGGCACUUGCUUAUCAUGAGAGCUGGGAUUCCCUAGUCUCCUUCAUCCUGAGAGCUUUGAUAGCAGAGUUUCUCCUGGGGCACAUAGGUUAUCCAGAGUGCAUGUCAUUUGUUCAUAGAAAAUUAAGACUUCAUUAUAUAUAUAUAUAUUUUUUUAUUUAUGACAGUUUGAAAUGAAUCGACUUGUUACUUCAUUUCAGUAAAGGACUAUUCAUGGGUUUGGUAAAACUUCAAAUUUGACACUGUGACUAUUUGAAUUAAACAAACAUCCCUGCUGUGUGUGUGUGUGUGUGUGUGUGUGUGUGUGUGUGUGUGUUGGGAGGAAUCAACUUUGGAACUGUUUUUUUUAAAGUUAUUUUGUAAUAGUGCCUAUUCUCAGUUGGCAGAAAAUAACUAUCUAGAAUGUUGCUCAGGUCUAGUGAAAAGUUUUAGGGAAGUUGUAACUAGCUUAAUAACCAUUUGUGGACUGACAUCGAUCGACACACCCAAUUACACAAGACCUGAGUCUGAGAACUGGUGAUGUGCAAUCAUCCCAUCACAUCUGGUCGUCAUUAUCAGCAACAGUAAUGGCUCCACUAUUUCUCUGGGGCCACGUGACAUGACAGUGUCUCCAUAGUAAAGGGGAAGUCAGGGCUGACAAAACACACCCAUUCCCAACCCCUUGUUCCCAAACUUCUCUUUAAAUAUACCCUGUUGUGAGGAUUUGAACUAAUUCACCUUAUUUAAUGUUGUUGUUUUUAAUAAAAUUUUCUUUUUGGAAAAAAAAAUUUUUUCCCCUUCUUAAAUACCAUGACUUUCCAGCUCACAUUUUUGCCAACCCAAACCAGGAAGAGCCAAAGCACUCUGGGUCAUUUUUCUAACAUACAACUUUGUCAUUUGAAAGACGUCAUGUCUGUGGUUUCCUGCUGCUUUAUGAGUACUGAAGUAUUCAGUAUCUAUUCUGGUUUACAGUUAACGCUACAACUGCUGUCAACCACUGAUGAGCACUUUCUAAUAGAAAUCAUUUUGGUCACUGUGAGUGGGAGGGAAGGAAUUGGUUCACAGGAAUGAAUUUGCAUGUUGAGAAGAUACUAUCUAAUAGUUUGCCAUACCUAAGCACUUUCGUGUGCUUUAUCUCUUUGACGAGGCUGUACGUUCAUUUGUGGACACCGAGGCAGAGACCUGUGGGGCCCUGAUCCAAAGUCAGCCUGCAGGUGCCAGGUCUUCGGUCUGGCUCUUGGUGUGUAACUGGAUGAGUCUUUCAUUGGCAAAAAUAUGGAAUCUUUCUACUCUUAAAGGGCACCCUUUUGCCCUUGGACGGUAUGUUAGCAAUUCUUUCCAGAGUGGAAAGAAGGUAGCAAUAUUUUCUUCCUUUUGAUAAAAAUCAUUGUGUUUUCUCUAAGUCUUGUUGUUUCUAAUGAGAGUCUGAUGGCACGGCAGGGCUUCUGACUAAAAAGCCUUUUGGAAAAUUAAAGUUUUAUAGAAAUGAGUAAGCUUUCCAUAACAUUCUGAAGGGAGCAGACUCAAUUGAGCCGAUACAAAUGUGUUCUUUGAUUCAUCAGUACAUUACGAGACAUCAAUUUUUCAACCCAUUAAUUUUGGAGUUUUAAUAUGUACCUUCUUUCUGAAGCACAUAUCUGUGCACAAAGUGCAUGCUUCGUGGUUGUCAUUGACUUGGCAAGAGGUCAGACGUGUUGGUGAGUAUUGGUCGAGCAGUGCCAUGUAACUUCAGUGCCUAGAUUGCUGUGUGCACACUGGCCGGGAGACCAAGCUCAUCUUUUGAGAAGCGAUGUAGAGUUUCAGGAAGCACCCUGGCCUGUGAUCACAGGUCUUGAUAUGGGACAGGGUUAGUCCAGGGAACAUACUUCGCUGGGAGACCGCUUAAAGAAAAAGGUUUUGCAUUUCUUUUAAGAGUCAGGCCUUGUACUGAAUGUUAGAGUGGUUGUUUCAAAGGGCUUCUUUGUCUUAGCGAAGGCUCCUGUCUGUGAGCUGAGGAGAAGCAGAAGAGGAGAAACAGUCCUUGGGAACUUCCCCUGGAGGUUGUAGCUUGGUCUGAAGGGUCUUGAUUGGAUUAGAUGAGUAACUAGUUCCUGGGACUAACGAACUUCCCAGGAGUCCCUUUGGUUAUACAUGCAGCUCCAUGGGAUCGCAUGCCGUUCCAAGCCAUCAUGUUUUGGAAUAGUGGUUUUCUAACUUGAGUGCGCAUCAAGUUUUGGGAGGUUUGUUAGAACACAGACUGCUGGGUCCACCCCCAGAGAGGUUUUGAUUCCGUAGGCGUAGAGUGGGACCGAGUCAUUUGCAUUUCUGGCACGUUCCCAGGUGAUGCUGCUGGUGUUUGGGGACCUACACUUUGAGAGCAAUCUCAGGUGUUUGAGCUUCAGGGCAAAGGGAGCUAUGCAAGCUUGGCUGGGAUUUUUUUCACAGCUUUUCCAGUGCAUAGCAGAGCUUCCAGAUUUAUUAAUUAAUUCAUUCAACAAAUAUGUGAGUGUCCACUGUGUGCUGUUACAGUUGUUGGAGAUAUUGUGAAGAAAGCACCAGAACUCCCUCCGUUUGUGGAACUGAGUGAGCACAGGCCAGGAUUAACCAGCUAUCAGUCCUGCUAGUUAUUGACAAGCCCGUUCCUUUUCCUAGUUCCCUUCCACUUAUGUUGCUUUCUUUUGGAAUUUUGCUUUUAGUAAUAAUGACUUUGCUCUUAUUAAUCAUCACCGUAACUUUUAAAAAAAAAUAUAGAUGUUUUAGUUGAUUUUUAGAGAGAAAGGAAAGGGAAGGGAAAGAGAGAAGCAUUAAUUGGCUGCCUUCUGCACGCCCCCUAUAGGGGACGGAGCCCGUAGGAUUUUAAUGUCAAAGCUAUUGGUUCUUUCAUCAGAUAAUUUUUUUUUACUUGCAAUAUUUCUAAUGUCCCUCUGCAACAUAGUUUUUUAAUUGAAGUUUUGAAUUAAAAAGCUGUCUUCCCAGAGUGGAAGAGGUAAGGGUGGAGGAUGUUUGUGAAUUAGGUCGAAUCUCUCCUUGAG